This 119-nucleotide ribosomal RNA is filed under the name Monopterus albus (swamp eel). Lineage: Eukaryota; Metazoa; Chordata; Actinopteri; Synbranchiformes; Synbranchidae. The record is from RNAcentral.
GCUUACGGCCAUACCACCCUGAAAACGCCCGAUCUCGUCCGAUCUCAGAAGCUAAGCAGGGUCGGGUCUGGUUAGUACUUGGAUGGGAGACCGCCUGGGAAUACCAGGUGCUGUAAAUA